RNAcentral lists this small RNA (288 nucleotides) under Roseivivax jejudonensis. Its description in RNAcentral is "5' ureB small RNA". It matches the Rfam family "5' ureB small RNA". The record is from Rfam by way of RNAcentral. Lineage: Bacteria; Pseudomonadati; Pseudomonadota; Alphaproteobacteria; Rhodobacterales; Roseobacteraceae.
GUCCUCGAUCUGCUGCGGGCAGAUGAAAUGGAUGUGGCUGUCGAACCCACCGGCGGUGAGGAUCUUGCCUUCAGCGGCGAUCGCCUCGGUGCCCGGACCGACGACGAUGUCGACAUCGGGCUGGGUGUCCGGGUUCCCGGCCUUUCCGAUCUUCGCGAUGCGCCCGUCGCGCAGGCCCACGUCGGCCUUGUAGAUGCCGGUCGCGUCGACGAUCAGCGCGUUGGUGAUGACGGUAUCGACGGCGCCCUCGGCGCGGGUCGUCUGCGACUGGCCCAUGCCGUCGCGGAU